GUGAAUCAUCGAAUUUUUGAACGCAUAUUGCACUCUCUGGUAUUCCGGAGAGCAUGCCUAUUUGAGGGUCAUUUGUAAUAAUAUAAUUUUCGAGAGUUUCUUGGUUUCUACAAUGGGUUGGUCCAGCACUCGUGUGGUGGUCGCCUACAGUGAAAGGCAAGCUCAUUUCUUGGGGUGCGUGAUACGUUCAGUUACCUCGUG
RNAcentral lists this unclassified non-coding RNA (201 nucleotides) under Archaeospora sp. Its description in RNAcentral is "partial contains 5.8S ribosomal RNA and internal transcribed spacer 2". The stretch from base 1 to 71 matches the Rfam family "5.8S ribosomal RNA", at positions 84 to 154 of the family's 154-position model. The record is from RNAcentral. Lineage: Eukaryota; Fungi; Glomeromycota; Glomeromycetes; Archaeosporales; Archaeosporaceae.